RNAcentral lists this ribosomal RNA (873 nucleotides) under uncultured bacterium. RNAcentral's name for it is "bacterial SSU rRNA". It matches the Rfam family "Bacterial small subunit ribosomal RNA", at positions 1 to 1097 of the family's 1533-position model. The record is from RNAcentral.
GUACUAUGGAGUACUAGGGAUGANGGAUCCUGAGAUCUNAUAGUAUCGACUCCAUUGUGAGAAGCUGGCACGAAGACGGUCUAUAGUGAGUACGCCACAGCAUAUGUGCGCUAGAGGUACCCACAUGAUGAAUCGCCAAUCUCGAGCAGCAGUAGAUAUCGCAUGACAAGUUGACGAGGACGCGGUGAUGAGAGCGAAAGNNUGUAAAUCUUUGUGNNGAGAUANNCCAUGGAGGGAAUGCCCGUGGAUGACAGAACCGACGAAUAAGUCCCGGCUAACUACGUGCCAGCAGCCGCGGUAACACGUAGGGGACAAGCGUUAUUCGGAAUUACUGGGCGUAAAGGGCAUGUAGGCGGCCUGAUAAGCCUGGCGUGAAAGUCACCGGCUCAACCGGUGGAUUGCGUCGGGAACUGUUGGGCUUGAGUCAUGGAGAGGAAGGCAGAAUUCCUGGUGUAGGGGUGAAAUCUGUAGAGAUCAGGAAGAAUACCAGUGGCGAAGGCGGCCUUCUGGCCAAUGACUGACGCUGAGGUGCGAAAGUGUGGGGAUCAAACAGGAUUAGAUACCCUGGUAGUCCACACUGUAAACGAUGUGCACUAGGUGCUGGGGCGGAUGCUUCAGUGCCGGAGCUAACGCGGUAAGUGCACCGCCUGGGGAGUAUGCUCGCAAGGGUGAAACUCAAAGGAAUUGACGGGGGCCCGCACAAGCGGUGGAGCAUGUGGUUUAAUUCGAUGGUACGCGAGGAACCUUACCUGGGUUUGACAUACAGGGGGAUGCGGUAGCGAUAUCGCAGCCUAGCAAUAGGCCCCUGUACAGGUGCUGCAUGGCUGUCGUCAGCUCGUGCCGUGAGGUGUUGGGUUAAGUCCCGCAACGAGC